Molecule: ribosomal RNA, 465 nt
Filed under: uncultured bacterium
Lineage: Bacteria
Description: partial 16S ribosomal RNA
Rfam family: Bacterial small subunit ribosomal RNA
Source: RNAcentral
CCUACGGGAGGCUGCAGUGAGGAAUAUUGGUCAAUGGGCGAAAGCCUGACGCAGCGACGCCGCGUGAGUGAUGAAGGUCUUCGGAUUGUAAACCUCUGUCAGCAGGGAAGAACGGUCACUGUGCUAUUCAGCAGUGAAUUGACGGUACCUGCAAAGGAAGCACCGGCUAACUCCGUGCCAGCAGCCGCGGUAAUACGGAGGGUGCGAGCGUUAAUCGGAAUUACUGGGCGUAAAGCGCUCGUAGGCGGUAUGUCAAGUCAGGGGUGAAAUCCCCGGGCUCAACGUGGGAACUGCCUUUGAAACUGGCAAGCUAGAGUGUGUUAGAGGAGGGUAGAAUUCCAGGUGUAGGAGUGAAAUGCGUAGAGAUCUGGAGGAACAUCAGUGGCGAAGGCGGCCUGCUGGACGAAGACUGACGGUGAGGCGCGAAAGCGUGGGGAGCAAACAGGAUUAGAUACCCGAGUAGUC